GCCCGGCCCCUGCCCCGGGGGGCCCCGCUCGGAGGGAAGGCUGAAGAAUCACAUCUAGAUUUUGCUCCAGAUCAGCUGGUCUUCCAGGAAACGGGGAAAAGAAAUGGCUAUGAUGGAGCCAGCUCAGAUGCCGGUGACCUUCGAGGAGGUGGCUGUGUAUUUCACCC
Chelonoidis abingdonii (Abingdon island giant tortoise) is the source of this 167-nucleotide non-coding RNA. Lineage: Eukaryota; Metazoa; Chordata; Testudines; Testudinidae. The record is from RefSeq and is a predicted model, not a curated record.